UCAGCUCGUGUCGUGAGAUGUUGGGUUAAGUCCCGCAACGAGCGCAACCCUCAUCCUUAGUUGCCAUCAGGUAAUGCUGAGUACUUUAAGGAAACUGCCAGUGAUAAGCUGGAGGAAGGUGGGGAUGAUGUCAAGUCAUCAUGGCCUUUAUGGAGUGGGCUACACACGUGCUACAAUGGUGGCUACAAUGGGCUGCAAAGUA
RNAcentral lists this ribosomal RNA (202 nucleotides) under endosymbiont of Blepheripa zebina (Manipur pop.). Its description in RNAcentral is "partial 16S ribosomal RNA". It matches the Rfam family "Bacterial small subunit ribosomal RNA", at positions 1055 to 1256 of the family's 1533-position model. The record is from RNAcentral. Lineage: Bacteria; Pseudomonadati; Pseudomonadota; Alphaproteobacteria; Rickettsiales; Anaplasmataceae.